GACGAACGCUGGCGGCGUGCUUAACACAUGCAAGUCGAACGGAAAGGCCCUGCUUUUGUGGGGUGCUCGAGUGGCGAACGGGUGAGUAACACGUGAGUAACCUGCCCUUGACUUUGGGAUAACUUCAGGAAACUGGGGCUAAUACCGGAUAGGAGCUCCUGCUGCAUGGUGGGGGUUGGAAAGUUUCGGCGGUUGGGGAUGGACUCGCGGUUUAUCAGCUUGUUGGUGGGGUAGUGGCUUACCAAGGCUUUGACGGGUAGCCGGCCUGAGAGGGUGACCGGCCACAUUGGGACUGGGGUGCGGCCCAGAGUCAUACGGGAGGCAGCAGUGGGGAAUAUUGCACAAUGGGCGGAAGCAGGAUGCAGCAACGCCGCGUGCGGGAUGACGGCCUUCGGGUUGUAAACCGCGUUCGCCUGUGACGAAGCGUGAGUGACGGUAAUGGGUAAAGAAGCACCGGCUAACUACGUG
RNAcentral lists this ribosomal RNA (468 nucleotides) under uncultured bacterium. RNAcentral describes it as "partial 16S ribosomal RNA". It matches the Rfam family "Bacterial small subunit ribosomal RNA", at positions 28 to 507 of the family's 1533-position model. The record is from RNAcentral.